RNAcentral lists this transfer RNA (72 nucleotides) under Ipomoea nil (Japanese morning glory). It matches the Rfam family "tRNA". Rfam says of the family: Transfer RNA (tRNA) molecules are approximately 80 nucleotides in length. Their secondary structure includes four short double-helical elements and three loops (D, anti-codon, and T loops). The record is from Rfam by way of RNAcentral. Lineage: Eukaryota; Viridiplantae; Streptophyta; Magnoliopsida; Solanales; Convolvulaceae.
GGCUCCAUGGUCUAGUGGUUAGGACAUUGGACUCUGAAUCCAAUAACCCGAGUUCAAAUCUUGGCGGAACCU